Molecule: ribosomal RNA, 229 nt
Filed under: uncultured bacterium
Lineage: Bacteria
Description: partial 16S ribosomal RNA
Rfam family: Bacterial small subunit ribosomal RNA
Source: RNAcentral
CGUGUAGGCGGAACGGUAAGUACCUUGUGAAAUCCCCGGCUUCAAUCCGGGAACUGCUUGGUAUACUGUCGUUCUUGAGGCAGGUAGGGGUCACUGGAACCUUAGGUGGAGCGGUGAAAUGCGUAGAUAUCUAAGGGAACGCCUGUGGCGAAAGCGGGUGACUGGGCCUGACCUGACGCUGAGACGCGAAAGCGUAGGGAGCAAACAGGAUUAGAUACCCUGGUAGUCC